AUGCUGGCGCUGAAGCGGCUCAUGAACAGCCAACAGCGGGAGAGGCGGCGCCGUCGCAGACUCCAAGCUCGUGAUGGAUCGAUUACUUCUACAUCCAAAAGAGACGACUGGCUUCUCUGUCGAGAAGAUGGUAAAUCUCUUCUUUGUGGUAAGCGAUUGAGAGAUUCAGUGUCAAACCUCCCACAGGACAUCUGGUGCCACAUACAUUCUCUGAUGCCAAUGCAAGAUUCUGCUCGUUCUGCUUGUGUAUCACAUGCAUUUCUAGAUUCAUGGAGACACCAUCCGAACCUCAUCUUAAAUAAGAAAACGCUGGGCUUGGAACAAAAUGCAUGUGGAAAGGGUGAUAUGGCGAGGGCUUUCACUAGCAAAGUUGACCAGAUUCUGAAAAACCACUCACACACUGCCACGAAGAUACUCAAGCUUGACAUGUUUGAUUGUCACGAUUUCUACAUUUCUUGUCUCAAUAAUUGGCUUGAGAUUGCUAUUACACCAGGGAUUGAAAAACUGGUCCUUUUUCUGCCUUCGGGAUACCAAGAAGUGUACACCUUCCCAUGCUCACGUUUAUUUGGUCAGAAUGGAAGCUCACUUCGGUAUCUUCAUCUCAAUUACUGCACCUUCCGUCCUACAGUUGGAUUUGGUUUCUUGAGAAGCUUAACAAAGCUGUAUUUGCGUAAUGUGAGGAUUACAGGGGGAGAGUUAGGGUGCCUUCUUUCUAAUUCUUUGGCUUUGCAGCGGUUGGAACUCAGGUAUUGCAGUGAAAUAAUCUGCCUGAAGAUACCAUGCGUGCUGGAGCGACUAAGCUGCCUCACUGUUUCUGCAUGCAAUGCGCUGCAAAUUGUUGAGAGCAAUGCUCCGAACCUCUCCACCUUCAACUUUGAUGGCGACAUAGUACAGCGCUCUCUCAGACAACCAUUGCAAGUUAAGGACCUAUAUAUGAUAUGUCCAAAUGAGUCAAACCUUCUCUGCUACGCUAUUACCAAGCUUCCAUAUGUUGUGUCAAACAUUGAAGAUCUUAGAUUGUCUUCAAUUAGUGGUGAGAGGGUUAAUACACCGAUGCCAGCUGCGAAAUUCCUCCACCUCAAGUUCUUGGAAAUUUAUCUUGAUGGAGAUCUUUCCCCAGGAUAUGAUUAUUUGUCUUUGGUUUCUUUUCUCGAUGCUUCUCCUGCUUUGGAGACUUUCAUCUUCCGUGUGGAUCAGGAUGAAAUGCUGUUUGAUUCGAUUUCGGGGGGUGCCUUACAAAUGAGGAAGAUGCCUGAACACAAGCAUGACAGCCUCAAGAAUGUGAAGAUUCUUGGCUUCUGCUCUGCAAAGAGCAUGGUUGAGCUAACAUGCCAUAUUCUAGAGAAUGCUACAUCACUGGAAUGUAUCACCUUGGACACCAUAUAUGAUGCAGAAGACGAAGACUUUGUCGGUAGAUGUUCUGAAACUUCUGCAUGGAGAUCCGGUAAAUGCUCCCCCCAGACAAGUGAGAUGAUGUUGGAAUCUAAUAAAGCUCUUAUCGCCAUUGAGGGAUACAUCGUGAGGAAAGUUCCCUCUACUGUUAAAUUAAAUGUUCGGGGGGCCUGUAGCCGGUGCCAUACUCCAGAGCUGAUCUUGAGUUGA
This 1602-nucleotide ribosomal RNA is filed under the name Triticum aestivum (bread wheat). RNAcentral's name for it is "partial small subunit ribosomal RNA". The record is from RNAcentral. Lineage: Eukaryota; Viridiplantae; Streptophyta; Magnoliopsida; Poales; Poaceae.